UACGGGGGGAGCAAGCGUUGUUCGGAAUCACUGGGCGUAAAGGGAGUCUAGGCGGUUUGGUAAGUGGGAUGUGAAAUGCCCCGGCUCACCCGGGGACCUGCAUCCCAAACUGCUGAGCUUGAGUACAGGAGAGGGUGGGGGAAUUCCAGGUGUAGCGGUGAAAUGCGUAGAUAUCUGGAGGAACACCGGUGGCGAAGGCGCCCACCUGGCCUGCUACUGACGCCGAAGCUCGAAAGCUAGGGGAGCAAACGGG
Molecule: ribosomal RNA, 253 nt
Filed under: uncultured bacterium
Lineage: Bacteria
Description: partial 16S ribosomal RNA
Rfam family: Bacterial small subunit ribosomal RNA
Source: RNAcentral